This is a non-coding RNA of Meleagris gallopavo (turkey), 424 nucleotides long. The record is from RefSeq and is a predicted model, not a curated record. NCBI's taxonomy places the organism in Eukaryota, Metazoa, Chordata, Aves, Galliformes, Phasianidae.
CUCAACUUGUGCAGCGGGUAGCUCCCUGGUUGCUUCCCUGUUAUGUCUCACCUCCAAGAGACCAGAGAGCACUCAGACAGGAGAGCCAGUGGGAAGCUCCCUGAAGGGUAGAAACCCUCCUGAGAAAGAGAAAUGGUGGCAAAUACUGUUGUUCCCAGCUGAGUCAACCUUAAAUUAACUCUGUAAGGACUGUCCAGGAUGAGGACCAACACAAGCUGUCUGCACGGAGAUUUUGUUGCUGCUGGGAAUUUGGAGUGAACACUGCAGUGCUAUUAUUUGGAUCCAAUUACAUAAUUUCAAUUGAAAUAUAUUUCAGUUGAGUUAUUAUUUCAAGCUGGAGGAGGUGCUUCAGUACAUGCCAUCUCUACUCCUUGACUCUGCAUUUUAGCAUUAUGCCCAACUUCAGUACGCUCUUCUGACAAAC